Molecule: ribosomal RNA, 4995 nt
Filed under: Triticum aestivum (bread wheat)
Lineage: Eukaryota; Viridiplantae; Streptophyta; Magnoliopsida; Poales; Poaceae
Description: partial small subunit ribosomal RNA
Source: RNAcentral
CAGAAGAGAUCUCGAUCGAUCUCCCACCGCAUAAAUCGCAAAAGCGAAAUUCACGUAGAAUGAGCGAGAGUAUUCAUACCAGCCGAUGGUAGUAAGGCAUCUCCAAACGGAUUGUAAACCUCCGCAAUCGUUUGGACCACGCUACGGAUCACGGAAGCCAUCCAACCCGACCUAUAUCGGUUUAUGGGGCGGUUCAGGUUCACGGUGGACGUGAUUUUUUUUCCUCAUGGACUUCACGUCCACCGGCAACGGACAAGGCGUAGACUCCUUCGAGAAUGAGUAGGCCACGGGAGACAGCGGGGCUUGGUGUCCCAUGUGAGCCGGUCCGUCUCCCGUGUUCUACUCUUCUUCGCCAGAGACCGCACGUCUUAUCGCCGGUGCUUAUGAAGAUGGCGGAAGGAGGAUGACACGGGCUUGGACGCCGGCCGCCACCACCGUAGGAGAAGUUUAGGGGUAGGUCUUUUUCUUCUAAAUGUUCAAAAUAUAGUUAAAUUCAUUGUAUUUGUAUGAAAUUCGUCAUGUUUAUACGAAAUUCGGCCGUGUUUGCAUGAAUUUCAUCUAGUUCGUUGAGAAAUAGUUUGAAACGAAUACAACUAGCGUUGGAUGUCGACCUCUCACAUUCAUGUCCGCGGACUGGUACCCCUGUCCGCAGACCGGUGCGAGGCGGGCGUGACGUGUGGACGAGGCGGAAUGCUUCUCCUCCUCCCUCUCUAGUUUUUGAUGCAGCGGCGGCGGAACCGUGGAAGCGAGAAGGCAGAAGAGACGAGGGGCGGGAGCAUAGGUUGCCGAGGAAGGGCGCCUUUUCACAAUGAUGCAGUAUGUAUUCUGUGUUCGGGGAUAGACAAAUCUGUGUGUUCCGCCCACCACGCCAUGCGCGCUCCAUAUCCCAAGGUUCAUAUCUACAACCACACCAGCCAGCCAGCCUAGAUCGGUUCACUCUGUUCCAUGCCGUGCUCUGAUGUCCCGUUGCUGCUUCUCGAAUGUGAGAAUCUUGCAUCUGGUUGGUCAUCUCCAAAUGAUCCCUUUUCUUUCUCAACUCUAGCCAGCCGCCCGCUAAGCUAGGUGCACACUAAGGCUGGUUGUAAUGUGUAGUAUCAUAAGUUAGUAUCAUGCAUAUGAUACUAGUAUAUGAUACUAGCUCCCUAAUGCAUAGUAUCAUAUAGUAGUAUCAUAAAUGACUUUAAUUAUUGUCAUGCAUGACACAUACUAGUGUAGCAUUUAUUAUGAUACGGUAGUAUCAUGAUAUGAUACUCAAUCCUCUUUUACUUCAUUUAAUUCUAUGCCACCUCAUUAAAGUUGCCUAGUUGGCAUGCAUGAUACUAUCUAUGAUACUUCCAUUACAACCAGCCUAAAGAAAAGGAGCUAUACUAGGUGUAGCAUGUUUUAGUAGUGCCUCAACAACCACGAUCGAAUCGACAACCACCGCCUCAGCGUGAAGGUAAACGAAAUCCAUUAAAAGGACACCGAUGAACAGACUUGGUCUCACAGAAUCGCAGGACAAUCGCAAGCAAACAAACAAAAAGUAGAGAGUCGUUAGUGUUCGUACUAUUCGUCAUAAAUCAACCGGCCCUAGCCGGCAAAAGUGGAGUACAAAAUAGCUAGCUCUAAAAAGGCUACUGUCUCCUCUCCCAAAAGGUUUAAAGGGUUUCUUCAGGAUUGAUGCAGCUCACCUGCUAAGAGCAUCUACAACCUGAUUUAUCAAAUCUGACCCCUAAACGUCCGUGGAUGCACCGAUCAGUGUCCAGGAGUGCCCGAUUUGUGCCCCUAUUUAUUCGUCAAUGUGGCCACACUUUUCAUUUUCUUUCUCAUAUGUAUGUUCACUUGCACGUGCUUGGUGAAGAUAAAGAGAGAAGGAAAAAAAGAAUAAAAAAAAGAAAAAAGAUGGUCCGGAUGGGCCGCGUCCUACAUGGUAGACAGACUGGGCACGUUCGUGAGCGCCUAUAUCCUCCUUACAUUUAUCCUUAAUAUGAGGGUUCGCGAACAAUUUGGACGUAUAGAGAUGAUAUGAGGGGUCCGAUGGGUCACUAGUUUUCUUCUCUUUUCUCUCUGGGCAUGACCGAUCACGUACGCAGACGUUUAAGGAGGAUUUGAGAACAUUUACAGACGGACUUUGCAAAUCCGGCCUCUCAAAUGCCCGUGGACGCGAUCGGGCGCGUCCGCAGGCAUUAACCGGGCAACCCUCAAAUCUUGUCGUCCACAUUCGUGUAUCCCAUAUCCGGUCCCUCAUAUCUAUACUAGCAUGCAACAUAGAAAAAAAAGAAUAUUAUCACACAAACAUAGAAUCGGACAAGGCAAUGCAUGGAUGUCCAAAAGAUCGCCAAAGUUUACAUAAUUCACAUAAACUUAAAGUACAUCACUAAAAACUAGAAACUGAAGACGAAGACGGCGAAGAUUCACUACUUCCUCGCUGGCCCUUUGCUCUUUCGUUUGCCGGCAUAGCUGUAGCUGUCAGCGGCUGGUGGCGGAUCGUCCGAGUCAUCGGAGGAGGAACCUUCCGAGUCGUCGUCAUCGGAGUCAGAGAGGAGACGAGCCCUUUUAGCCGCCGGACCUCCUGUCCUGUUGUCGCUUUAGCUUCGCGAGCCAAGCCGCCUUCGCCGCUUCCUCUGCCGCCUCACGCUCGGAUUGCUCAAUGGCAAUCCGGAGCGCCUUGCCAUUCUUCCGUCAGAGCCGCCGCACGUCCGUCUCCGCGGUCAUAAGCGACCGACGGUUGACCCAUUCGAGGAGCCGCGCAUCGUCAUCGGGCUCCGCCUGCAUCCCGCGGCGACGGUGCACGGACUGCACUGCCUUCCUCCUCUCCCUUUCCUGCUGCCGCUCGCGGCGGGCACAUGCGCCUCUGAAUCCGGCGUAUGCGUUUGGGUCGGCGGGGCGGGCACAAGCACCCACCGCUGACCACAUGGGGGAGCAGCAGCCGGCGGGGGUAGGGGACAGCGUAGGGGAAGCACAGACUGUGCAUGCCGCCUGUCGGAGCUGCGUCCGGGCCGGGAGGGGCCAGCGCCGGUGUCCGAGCUCCGCUGACAUAGAAGUUGUGGCUAAGGCGAUUCGGAGGGCAAGCUCAUAGUCCGGAUCCAUCUCGGAGUCGGAACGGCUGCCGUAGCUCGACAUUGCGCCGGAUUCGAUUGGAAUCGGUGCGGGGAAAGGAGAGGACGGAGCGAGAGAGGAGAGUGAGUGAGCUAGGGUUUCGAAGCGAUGAGCCGGAUGGAGUUUUUUGUGGGACAUCCGUGGGGUCGGUGGUGGGUCGGCCUUGUCAGGCGGACACGCCCGGACGUGCCCGGGCCAUCCCAUAUCUGCCCCAUAUUUAGGCUGGAUAUGGGGGUGACGGUCUGCCCGUGCGUUUGAAGCUCAUUUGAGGCGUCCGCCUGGAUCGAAAAAACAUGACCAGACAGUGAUCGGGCGGCCCCAUGGACAUAUAAGACAGGUUCGAGAGAUUCGGUUGUAGAUGCUCUAACCUCGGAAAAGGCGGCUAGCAAAUAGACAACGCAAUUAUGCAAGUGGAUGACGCCACUCGCUUUACACAUUGAUGACUCGCGCCCACUGCUCCGGUUCAUUAAGCAAAGAGGUAAUAGCACUGCAGGUCCCUGAACUUGCAUGUCAGGUGAUGGUUUGGUCCUUGAAGUUGCAAAAGUGGAUUAUUUGGUCCCUGAACUUGUCAUGGAUUUGCAAGUUUAGUCCACAGCCAACCAGAACUCGCCAAGUGGAUGCCAAGUGGCCUGGCUGGUCAGCGCCGUGAGUUUUUCACUUAGCCCCCUCCCUUUCUGAUGAAUCAACCCGCACUACUACACAAUGUGGCACAUGUGUUGGUCUAUUCCUUGGCAUAUUCUCCCUCUGCUCCCCCUCCACUCGGCAGCUCCCCCUCCACUCGUCUGCUCCCUCGUUUGCUCCCUCUGCUCCCUCGUUUGCUUCCUCUGCUCGCCGCCGUCCAGCUCGCCGGCGACGCCAGCUCGCCGUCAUGGUUUCUUGGAGUGAAGGAUCCAGCUCCUCGUCGGACGGCUACUCUGUCACAAGUGAGGUUAGUUCGUCACUACCACUACUCCUCUAGCAGUUUAGGGGCAGUUAGGGUUUAGUGCAAGAUUUGAGGAUUUUGCUGACUAGAAUGUGUUGUAGGCUCCUGCUCCUGCUACCAUUUUCUGCUCUGAGUGGAGAGCCCUUGCUCCAGAUCUUGCAGCUCGAUGUGAACACAGUUGUGUGUGUGAGAAGUUGGUGUCCUUUGAAUCAGUUGAUAGUGGAAGGAGGUAUCUUGCUUGUGCACAAAAGGAAAUUCCUAAAUGCAACUUUGUGGAGUGGAUUGACCCUGAAUGGCCUGCCACUCUGAAGAUGAGUUUAGCUAGGGUUUGGGGCAUGUAUGAAGAUGAGAACAAGCUAAGGCUCAGGGAAAAUGUAGUCAAUGCUGAAGAAAAUUUCAGGGUUGUGAAAGAGAAGGAAAAGAUGGAAAAGAUCUAAGGUUUUUUAAACUAGAUUUUGCUAAGAUGGUGGCUGACAAGGAGCAGGCAAUUACUGAGUUGGGCAAUGCAAGACUUGCUCUUUCUGACCUAGAGCAAGAGCUUGAGAAGAAGAAGCUGGCUGAUAAAUCUAGCACUAGCAUACAUCAGGUUUUGACGGCUAAGGCAGAGAAAGAGAGGGAUGAGAUGAAGCAACAGAUGGACAAGAUGAAAGGAGAGAUGGACAAGAUGAAAGAAGAGAUGGACAAAGUGGUGUCACAGAGGGAUGAGCUGAAGAAGGAGAAGAAGAAAUUAGAGUACACGAUUGGUGAUUUGUUCAGGCACAAGGAGGAGAACAAGAGCAAGAUAAGGAGGGUGAAGGAGAUCUUAGAGGAAUUUGAUUAAUUCAUUGUUGCUGUAAUGUUGAUGCCUUAAGUUGGAGUUAUCAAUUAGUUGUACUGAAAUUAUUGGAGUAAUGCCAGUAUUAUGUAAUGCACUUUAUUUUUAUGACUACUUUUAGUUAACUCAAAUCUGUAUGACUCAUUUUAGUGCUACUAGUUAUCUGAAUUUCUCUAGUUUA